AGUCCGGUUACGUUCUCGAAAACCGCCGGUUUCAACAAUCACUCUUUAUCCUCUGCUACUAUAAAUACACCGGGGUCUGUAAGAGCAUUCAGAUUGGCCACACGUCGGGAGAUUGGCUUUUGGUGUAAUUAUAAACUCAUUGGGUAUAGGCCCGUCUAGACGAAAACGCCCGCCGUGUAGCAGGCAGAGGAAUCACUACUACUAAUACCGGUUAACCCUUGUAGUUUAUCAAGCCAAUCAUUCUGAUUUCAAGAAAGAAAAUCACUAGUCAUGUGCAUGUUAGAUCGUUCGUUGAGCCGUAUUGGUGCGCGAGAAGCUUAGAUAUCAUUUGCAAAAGACCUCUUAUAAAGAUAGCCUGUGUAACAAGCGAGAGAGGCUCGGAAGACCAUGCGAGUCUGGGGAAAAGUCGAAAUAGAAGACCCUUUUCUUUUCUCUUCGCCUUCUUCUCCGCGCGGCCAGCUCUUUAUCAUAGAGUUGGCUACAAAGACUAAAUAGAAAAGAACGCUUUUUGGUUGUCGGCCGCGAGUAUUGUGCACACUUUACUACCCUGGCUACCAAUGACAGCUUCACUACUAGCCAGCUAGCACUAGCUUCUUAUUUUCUAAGGGGUCCCUGGGGGGAGGGGCUAUCUUCGGCUGGCAUCUUGCGCCUGCGAUAGCUUAGGAGCCUGGCCUCUUGCACGUGCGUUCGUGUGAAAACAAGACAAGAAGCAAGAGGGGCGGCAGAGAAAACCCGCCUAAAAUAUCUACAAAAAAGUCAUGUUCAGAGCGAGCCAUGUACAACGACGCCCUCUCGCAUUUCCAAAGUUUUAUCAUCGGCAUUGGAGUAUCUUUCCUCGAACAAGGGUAAUUUAAAAGGUAGGAGCCACCAGAAAUGUCUAGAUAAUGACUUAACAGACCGUAAGGCUACGUGGGUUUUAUAAAUGUUUCCUUUAAGAUCUCCGAGUUUGAAUUCUCACGUGGCAGCCCGAGAUGUCGAUGCGCCAAGAAGUGUAAAGCAUUUUCGACACAACAGCAAACUUUGCUUUUACUGUAUGAUAUACUUACAUAUUGUAGAUAGUAGAUAGCAUAAACCAUAUUGCAAUAACAAACGCAAGUCUAAGUUUCUGAUAUUGGAAAAGAAAAAACACGUUGAACACUUACUUGGUUGUAAAGUUAUUAUCGUAAAAUCUCUAUUUCUUUUUCAAGUAACUUUCCUUUUACUGGUUCUGGUGGACAUUUGGGAUGACGCAAAUUCCUUGAAAUGCUAUGACUUUUGCCCCGUUGGGUUGGCUUCUUACAAGUAAUAAGGCUGUAGCCUACAGGGGAUAUAGCGGAAGUGGGUUCCACUUAUAAAUACGACAAGAAAGUUAAAUGUUUGCUAUUAUACUUGGCUCAGCCUUGUUGCCAAGUCUUUGAACGGCAUGACAAAUAGCAAGCUUAAUUUCCGCUGCGACACCAGAUGUCCUUUGUAGUUUCUUCCUCCAAAAGCAGCAAUUGUCAAUGCAUAUAUUUCUUGGACUUUGGCCUUUCGCUGAUUUAGACAUGGUUGAGUGCAAUAAGUAUGUUUUUUAUCUUUGCAUAUGAUUGAUUGAGAAAACACAAGUUGCCAUGUAAAAACCUCUACAUAACUUGCAAGAAGUGUGUCUUACUGUUUGAUCCACUUUCCAUCACACAAAAGGCUAACAUUUGCUAGCAACUUUGAAUGGAUGAUCGAUCACAUGGUAGCCAAUAAGCAGAUAGCUUUCUCAUUUCUGCAUUAAACAGAUGUUCUUGCAGUGUGAGCCAGAUGUUCUUUCAGUGUGAUUCCUGGUUAAAGAAACCACUCGCAGUUUUUGACAUUCUAAGUCAUGUUAAAUAAAGUGAACUAAACAAAAUUAAUUUUCUUUCUCAUCUUUUUGUUCCCUUUUUUCCUCCGAUAAACACGGAUUUAAUUUGCUUUUUUUCAUUUCGUUCUUUUAUUGCCCUUAUCACUGCUAAGGUAUUGGCAAUGGAGGGGGGGUGCCUACAUGGCUGAACCUUGUAGCCAAGCCAUGCCAAGUCUUUUUUAUUUCUGCAUUAAAAAGAUGUUCUUUCAGUGUGAACCCUGGCAAAAGAAACCACUUGCUGUUCUUUACAUUCUGAGCCUUGUUGAACUUCUCUGUCGCUUCUCAAACUUGUGCCUUGUAAGGCAUUUAAAAAGUGAUGAAAGGAAUAGGAAAAUAAAAUACCGCCUUUCUUGGUGAGAUAUUGUGUGACAUAUGGAAAAAAAGUAAUAGAUUAAAAUUUUCUCUGGCUUUGGAUAGAUUCAACUCUAAGACUAAGUGUCAAACAUAUAUCUGAUCAUCUAUCUGAAAUCAUAUAUCUAAAAAAUAUAUCUUGAAAUAUCUAAUUCACUAAACAGCUGUAAUUUCUGUGACAAUGUGACAACAUCAAUGUUUCUUGGUUUUUAAAAAUGUAAUAUAUUAUUAUUAUAUAUAAAUAAGUAUAUAUACAAACCCAAUAUACAAUGUGUUUGUCUUUGUGACAUUGCAGUUUAUUUGUUAAUGUAAAUAUGAGUAUAAAUCUAACUGUAACACAAGAAACUUGUUACAGUUCAAAACAACUUAGUAAAUAAACAGCAACAUAUGAGAGAAUAAUGCAUUCUGUUACAUUGCCCCAUCUGUGACCCGUUUGGAACCACCUCUAACUGUCUGACAUCCUGUACGACACACAUUGUUAUUACCCCCCUCAUCUCCUCCAUAACCUGUGAAUGGGGCUCACCCAGCCUUGUCAGUAAAUUGGGUUUGCCCAGCCUUGUUUAACCAUAGUACCUUCUAUAGCCCUUGUUUGAGUGAGAGCAUUAUUUGUUGUGUUACACAUAGCAUUUGUACAUCAGACGUUUGAUUGAAAUUUUUGUGUAUGCGAGUCACGUGCAAGAUGAGAUUGGGUGGGUUUCCGGAGAGUUCAGAGGUGAUGUGGUGUAAAUAAAAAUAUCUUUUUUCGUCAAAACUCAUUGUGCCUGUUGGAAUGGUUGUUUUUCUGUGGGACUGGAUGGCUGUCAUGGUUUUACAGUACAUGGGGUCAGUGAACACGUAUUGAAUUCCCUCAGUUCACUGCCUGAACGUUUGGUUAUUUCAGGCCUCAGACUGUUGGCUGCAUCCAAUUUGUCUGCCACCAUUUCUGAUCUUUUAAAUAGAAUUACCUACUUUGCAGGAUGGCUUUUCUACUUUCUCUCUUUUCUUUACCGCUUGACCCAUGCCGUGACUCAAUGGCUUUCCCAACUUACCAACGAACCCAUUGUCUCCUCCUUCACCUAGCCUUCGGGCUCGAGCUCCCUAGAAAGGUGAAUUCGUGCAGACACCUCUUUUCCCUUAAUAGCAGUGUUAUUACAGCCAAAAACAAUGCAAGUUGUAACCAUUUUGUGCUUUUAAAAGCGUGGGCAAACGCAGUAAAGGGUGAUAUCCCCUAAUGAUACCAUACGAGUCCUUUUAUUUGACUCUUCCUGUGACGUAACGUCCCCUGGUUUACUUAUGGUAAUAAGUGAAAUUAGUUUUAAUCGAGAGGGGCCUCUCGAGCGCGGGUCAAAUCGAGUGCGCAAUUUUGAAAUCUUCAUCUCUUGUGAAAUUCAUAAAAACUGAGGUUUUAACCAAAUAAAAAAAGGUUUUAGACUCCGAUCUCAUGAAGUACGAAGUAUUAAGUUUUAUUCAUCAAAAGUUAUUUUAAACUGGUAUAUUAUCUUUAAGCAUUGGAGAUCUUAGUCUGAAUUUUUUAGGGGGCUGAACCAAUCUAUAAAAUAUGGUGAAAAAAGAUAGUAAUGGGAGCAGUUGUUCGCAACUGUUAUUUGUAGUAGAGAAGAAUCAUGUCUGGCACUCACAGGGAUUUAAAAUACUCGGUAACGUUAGUGUCGCCAAACAGUGCUUUUAACACGGCCUUAACAAUUUCCUCCACAAAAGAACUGUUUGCAGUCUUGUGGGGAUCUCGUGGUCUUGCGAUGGUGUAGCGAUCGAGUCGAUGAUGCUUCUAGCUCAUUUGUUUGUGAUUUUUCUACACUGCAGAAAAAAAACCUAAGACACUAGUCGUCACAACACCAUUAAUGUUGUUGCGUCAAUAGCAUCUAUUGGGUCCUGGUUAUCAGGAAUAUCUUGGCCAAAGUGGGUUAGACGCACUCUGUAGUGGCCAAAGUUGGCUUGUGCCACUUGGUGAAGGAGCUGUAGAU
Molecule: long non-coding RNA, 4155 nt
Organism: Nematostella vectensis (starlet sea anemone)
Lineage: Eukaryota; Metazoa; Cnidaria; Anthozoa; Actiniaria; Edwardsiidae
Exons: 2
Source: RefSeq, a predicted model, not a curated record